This 1118-nucleotide ribosomal RNA is filed under the name Pseudomonadota bacterium. RNAcentral describes it as "bacterial SSU rRNA". It matches the Rfam family "Bacterial small subunit ribosomal RNA", at positions 1 to 1088 of the family's 1533-position model. Lineage: Bacteria; Pseudomonadati; Pseudomonadota. The record is from RNAcentral.
UAAUUGGAGAGUUUGAUCCUGGCUCAGAAUGAACGCUGGCGGCGUGCUUAACACAUGCAAGUCGCACGAGAACUCUUCUGCUUGCAGAAGAUAGUAAAGUGGCGCACGGGUGAGUAACGCGUGGGUAAUCUACCUCUGAAUUGGGGAUAACAUUGCGAAAGCGAUGCUAAUACCGAAUAAUAUCCCGAAAACUUAGGUUUUUGGGAUCAAAGAUGGCCUCUACAUGUAAGCUAUUGUUUGGAGAUGAGCCCGCGUACCAUUAGCUUGUUGGUAGGGUGAUGGCCUACCAAGGCAACGAUGGUUAGCUGGUCUGAGAGGAUGAUCAGCCACACUGGAACUGACACACGGUCCAGACUCCUACGGGAGGCAGCAGUGAGGAAUUUUGCGCAAUGGGGGAAACCCUGACGCAGCAACGCCGCGUGAGUGAUGAAGGCUUUCGAGUCGUAAAGCUCUGUCAAGUGAGAAGAACCUACUUUUUGUUAAUACCAUUAAGUACUGACGGUAUCACUGAAGGAAGCACCGGCUAACUCCGUGCCAGCAGCCGCGGUAAUACGGGGGGUGCAAGCGUUAUUCGGAAUUAUUGGGCGUAAAGGGCGCGUAGGCGGUCUUUUAAGUCAGAUGUGAAAGCCCGGGGCUUAACCCCGGAAGUGCAUUUGAAACUAAGGGACUUGAGUAUGGGAGAGGGAAGUGGAAUUCCUGGUGUAGAGGUGAAAUUCGUAGAUAUCAGGAGGAACACCGGUGGCGAAGGCGACUUCCUGGACCAAUACUGACGCUGAGGCGCGAAGGCGUGGGUAGCAAACAGGAUUAGAUACCCUGGUAGUCCACGCAGUAAACGUUGUUCACUAGGUGUAGCGGGUAUUGACCCCUGCUGUGCCGCAGCUAACGCAUUAAGUGAACCGCCUGGGAAGUACGAUCGCAAGAUUAAAACUCAAAGGAAUUGACGGGGGCCCGCACAAGCGGUGGAGCAUGUGGUUUAAUUCGACGCAACGCGAAGAACCUUACCUGGAUUUGACACCCCGAGAAGUCUUUUGAAAGAAAGAUGUGCCCUUCGGGGAACUCGGAGACAGGUGCUGCAUGGCUGUCGUCAGCUCGUGUCGUGCGAUGUUGGGUUAAGUCCC